This 223-nucleotide long non-coding RNA is filed under the name Elaeis guineensis (African oil palm). RNAcentral's name for it is "long non-coding RNA (EGUI_LNC023147)". Lineage: Eukaryota; Viridiplantae; Streptophyta; Magnoliopsida; Arecales; Arecaceae. The record is from RNAcentral.
CUGGGAAGGAGAGGGGUGUCGAGACCGGUGGGCGUCACGCUGUGGCCGCCUCCCCCCUUCUCGGUGGGAGUGAUGAGACGGCUGCUCUUAAGACGGAGACGGAAGUGGACGCGGGCGUCGGCGGCUGCUUCUGGACGGCAUAGGGUGCGCCACCGGUUGUUCUACCGGUGGUCGCAGCAACUGAGUCGGUUGUUGUUGUUGGAGGUUUUUGAUCGCAUCCAUC